UACGUAAAAAUAAGGAUUAUGUUUAACAUUGUAUAACUGUCAUUUUAUGAAAAGCUCAUGACAUGCUUCUGCUUUUUUCUCAUUUCACCGCAGAUGGGUGAACUUUGUCAUAGCUAUUAGAGACUGACUAGCAUUUGGGGACCACUGUCUUAGGCCAUCCCAUUCUAGCCAGUGCCAUGGCAACAAGGUAGGGCUUGUGGAGGCCUCAUGACUUUCCCUUCUGACCCCUUCCCUUCCCAGAGAAGGUCGUGGAAGCCCUGACCGCUGCCAUCUUGGACCUGGUGGAGCUGUACUGCAACACAUUCAAUGCAGACUUCCAGACGGCAGUGUCCGGGAGCCGCAAGCAUGACCUGGUCCAGGAGGCCUGCCAUUUCGCCAGGUCCCUGGCCUUCACUGUCUAUGCCACCCACCGCAUCCCCAUCAUCUGGGCUACCAGCUAUGAAGAUUUCUACCUCUCCUGCUCCCUCAGCCACGGCGGCAAGGAGCUGUGCAGCCCCCUGCAGACUCGAAGAGCUCACUUCUCCAAGUACCUCUUCCACCUCAUCAUCUGGGACCAGCAGUAAGCCCUUCCCCCAGACUUCGAUGCCCAGGCCACUGCAGACCUGCUCAGCCUCUGAAAUAUCCCUGGGGCCAGAUAACUAGUCCAGGACU
This 651-nucleotide small RNA is filed under the name Pongo abelii (Sumatran orangutan). Its description in RNAcentral is "processed transcript". The record is from RNAcentral. Lineage: Eukaryota; Metazoa; Chordata; Mammalia; Primates; Hominidae.